UGCAAGUCGAACGGCAGCACGGGUGCUUGCACCUGGUGGCGAGUGGCGAACGGGUGAGUAAUACAUCGGAACAUGUCCUGUAGUGGGGGAUAGCCCGGCGAAAGCCGGAUUAAUACCGCAUACGAUCCACGGAUGAAAGCGGGGGACCUUCGGGCCUCGCGCUAUAGGGUUGGCCGAUGGCUGAUUAGCUAGUUGGUGGGGUAAAGGCCUACCAAGGCGACGAUCAGUAGCUGGUCUGAGAGGACGACCAGCCAC
This 255-nucleotide ribosomal RNA is filed under the name Burkholderia cenocepacia. RNAcentral describes it as "partial 16S ribosomal RNA". It matches the Rfam family "Bacterial small subunit ribosomal RNA", at positions 56 to 311 of the family's 1533-position model. Lineage: Bacteria; Pseudomonadati; Pseudomonadota; Betaproteobacteria; Burkholderiales; Burkholderiaceae. The record is from RNAcentral.